RNAcentral lists this small RNA (619 nucleotides) under Arabidopsis thaliana (thale cress). RNAcentral's name for it is "ATSL196840". The record is from RNAcentral. Lineage: Eukaryota; Viridiplantae; Streptophyta; Magnoliopsida; Brassicales; Brassicaceae.
UUUUGUUUUUAUUAUACAAAAGGAAAUAUAUUCAACAAAGGAAAAUUUGCAAGAAUAACUAACAAAAGUUUAUAAAUUAAGAAAGUAACAGCUAUAUUCUAUAUUAUAUAUAAUAAUGACAUAUUUAUCCUUCUCUCUCCACCUCACUCAAAGUCCCUUCCUCUCUCAUCUUUGUGUCAUCUCUUUUUCUUUCUUCUCUCAAUCUCCUCUCUCUUUUUUUUUUUCUCUUUCUUUUGCAUUUUCUUUGUAUGUCCACGUCACCUCACUUCCCUUUCUUCUUAGAAUCUUCACCCAUCUCGUUUUUUUCCUAAUGAUUGAAAAAUUGUAAUGGCUUCAAGUCUGCAUUCAUCACUUUCUUCUAAUGGCUUCAAGUCUGCAUUCGUUAUAACAUAACAAACAAAUGAGAAGGACAAAGUAAAUUUUUCAGAUACCACUUAUGUUAUUCGGUUGCUUGGGUUGCCAAUGUUGUAUUUUAGGGUAUAGUUUUUUUAUACAUCCAAAAUAGUAUAGUAUAACAUUUUAUUUCUCUACAUCCAAAAUAGUACAACAUGUUUUUACUUAUAAACACUAUUUACUAUUUUAUAAAUUCAAAUCCGAUUUUAAAAAUUCAAACUAUUUU